GUGAAGUUUUAAAUACAAAUCAGGCACAUCGCUAGAAUUUGCUUUUAACCGCACACCUUCUAAGAAAUUAUAUUUUUACUCCCAGAAAAUUACCUAGGAGAAAAAAAUGACAAGAGUAAUCUAUUUUUUUCACAGCUGGUCGGUUGGCCAGAGUUUCUCAUCAAGGAGUACAUGCUGUUUGCUCCCCAGAUGGACAGCCUGGAUGAGCUACAAAUCCACAGAGCCUGGGACACAAGAAAAUGCUUGCUGACCGCUGGCAGAGAGGAAGGAGGGGUCAACUCUGAGGGAACAGGAAGGCUGCCAGAGGGUGCUGUGUCUGAACUGUGUUUAGAAGGUUGAAGAAGGCAAGUUUGAGAGAGUAUAGCUCUUCCAACUUUUAUAUAGAGUGAACCAGGAUGCAAUACAGUCGGCCUUAUAGGUGAGAAAAUGCUCCUGUGAUUUAGGAGCACUCAAAAUGCUGAAAAAACCCUCCUCUCAUCAGCACAUAUCUGGGAAUGGCACAGGCCCUGGCUAGGCCAUCCCUUCCACGUGAAAAAGCAGUGGUUCACUAGGAGAGGCAGCAGAAUGGCCCAUCAGUGGGUUACUAGGAUACCACGUGGUGUCCCUGUCUACAACCCUCUUUGUGAGGUCCAACUCCUCCCUGGGGUCUGGCCUCAGAGUUUUCAUCCCUAUUUUCCUAAAUCAUACUGAACUCUUUUCUAUUUCCAUGUGAGAGUUAUGAGUCAGAACAGAGAUACGCAAAACCAUUUCAAAUAAUUAGCUGGUUUCCAGAUCAGCAAAAUCAAUAGGAGGUGAUUAAAAUAACUGACCUCAGGAAAAAAACCAGAGAUGACAUUGAUGGGCAGGAGGUGUGUUAGUCAACCACAAAGAAAAGGAGAGAGGACAUUUUGGUCCAUCUCUCUAAGGCCUCUGUUCUUAUCAGAGGAAACAAAGGCAUAUCAGACUACCUCAGUUUAAUGUCAGAAAACAAUCUUGUUACAUAACUCUCCUUGAUCUGCUUUCAUGUUCAAGCAUCAUCUUUUUAAUUAUAAUUUGCCUUCAGGGAAAACAUAUGAUGGCCGUACUAAUUUACUCUAAUCCAAGUUACUGCUCAUAGGAAACAAUACAUUGAUCAUCUGGUGUUAUACAUCAGGCUCCUAAGUAUGGUUGGUUAGGGUCUACCCUGAGUGCCAGCUCUGUUCUCAGGCUCCAGAAUAUAAUAAAUCCGGUUUCUGGGUUAGCAGAGUGGAAGACUGGAUUGAGCUCCAGUAAAUAUAGCAACAUAAUGUUCAUUCCCUAUGAGCCUCUACCCUGCUUGCACUGUUCUUUCCAUCAACUGUGUAUCUUCAAGCCUUGCCUGAGGGUCAAGCCCAACACAUGUUGUGUUUUAUGACACUCUCUUUUUCACUCGCAGACAAUACUGUUCUCAUUGGCCUGUGAGACCCCAUUGCACAUUAUUUAUACAAACCUGUUCAGAACACUUGUAACAUUUUAUCUUGCACUACAGUUAUUUGCCCAUGGGCUAUUUUUGCCUAAACUUGAAAUUCUGAGAAAGCAGAGUUUCUUUGUGUGCCCUGUUGUACCCAGCACAAUAAAAUGCUUAAUGAACUAGUAGCAUCCUGACAGCAUUGGUAGGCACAGCAGUUAUGGUGCGCAUGCAUGUGUGUGUGUGUGUGUGUGGCGGGGAGAGGUUUCAUCUGGAGAAAGGGACUUCGCUGAGGAAGGAUACCCCCAGUUAAAAUGUCAUGGGGGUGGAGGAGGAAAAGCUGGAUAGUCAAGCAUAGAAUGAGAGCCCAGGUCUCUGAGUAAGAGCUCCCAUUGCAGACGCUGUUUUGAGUACUCUGCACACACACCAUCUCUUCAAUCCUCUUAAGGAUCCUGUGAUACUGGUGAGGUUUACUCUCCCACUUUUACAGCUGAGGAAACUCAGGGAGAUUAAGCAAUUUCCUCAGCAUUAAGUAACUAGUAGCUAGGCUGUCUGUAUGCUUCAUCCUCUUAACCACCAUGCAAAAGCUUCUUGCCAACCCUGGCCUUAGACCAGCUCCAUAUAAAGGGAGGGUGGUUUAACCAGCACCGAUCAAUGAGUCACUAGCACGAGAAUACAAAGGAAGGGAUUCUGGGCUUCAGACUCUCUGUCCAGUGCAUCGCCAAUGGUUCUUU
RNAcentral lists this long non-coding RNA (2139 nucleotides) under Macaca mulatta (Rhesus monkey). RNAcentral describes it as "lncRNA (ENSMMUG00000060542.1)". The record is from RNAcentral. Lineage: Eukaryota; Metazoa; Chordata; Mammalia; Primates; Cercopithecidae.